AUGCUUUUUUGGCAGGGGAAAUCUCAUUCUCAAAUAUGUUGUCUUCCCAGACUGAGGCUGUACCUCUGCAAUUUGCUAGUGCUGACUCCUACAAAGUCCCCAUAUGUGGGCAUCUAGACUGCAUCAUUCCUGAUAACGGCUGACUUAGUUUACCCUUUC
Denticeps clupeoides (denticle herring) is the source of this 159-nucleotide small nuclear RNA. Its record names the gene U1. It matches the Rfam family "U1 spliceosomal RNA". Rfam says of the family: U1 is a small nuclear RNA (snRNA) component of the spliceosome (involved in pre-mRNA splicing). The record is from Ensembl. NCBI's taxonomy places the organism in Eukaryota, Metazoa, Chordata, Actinopteri, Clupeiformes, Denticipitidae.